GGCUCAGGAUGAACGCUAGCGGCAGGCUUAACACAUGCAAGUCGAGGGGCAUCGGGAGUAGCAAUACUGCCGGCGACCGGCGCAAGGGUGCGUAACGCGUGAGCAACAUGCCCGUAUCAGGGGGAUAAUCCAUGGAAACGUGGUCUAAUACCCCAUAGUAAUUAUGUAAGGCAUCUUAUAUAAUCUAAAGCUUUGGUGGAUACGGAUUGGCUCGCGUGACAUUAGCUGGAUGGUAAGGUAACGGCUUACCAUGGCUACGAUGUCUAGGGGUUCUGAGAGGAAGGUCCCCCACACUGGAACUGAGACACGGUCCAGACUCCUACGGGAGGCAGCAGUGAGGAAUAUUGGACAAUGGGAUGGAAAUCUGAUCCAGCCAUGCCGCGUGACAGGAAGACGGCCCUAUGGGUUGUAAACUGCUUUUGUAUGGGAGCAAUAAGGGCUACGUGUAGUCCGAUGAGAGUACCAUACGAAUAAGCACCGGCUAACUCCGUGCCAGCCGCCGC
RNAcentral lists this ribosomal RNA (503 nucleotides) under uncultured bacterium. Its description in RNAcentral is "bacterial SSU rRNA". It matches the Rfam family "Bacterial small subunit ribosomal RNA", at positions 21 to 518 of the family's 1533-position model. The record is from RNAcentral.